Molecule: ribosomal RNA, 1307 nt
Filed under: Abachrysa eureka
Lineage: Eukaryota; Metazoa; Arthropoda; Insecta; Neuroptera; Chrysopidae
Description: 16S ribosomal RNA
Rfam family: Archaeal large subunit ribosomal RNA (bases 615-1307)
Source: RNAcentral
UAAUAAUAAAUUGUUAAAUUUUAAAGUUUAAUUAAAUUUUAAUAAAAGUAAUUUUAAUAUAAAAAGUUAAUGUAUUUUUUAAAAAUAAAAUAUUUAUAACAAUAGUUUAUAGUAUAGUAAUAGAAAUUUGAAAUAUUUAUUUAAUUAAUUUAAAAGUAAUUAUAAUUUAAUGUACCUUUUGUAUCAGGGUUUAUUAAAUAAUUUAUAUAUAUAAUAUAAAUCUCGAAUUUAAGAGAGUUAAAAUAAUAUGAAAGUUAUUGUAUUAAAAAUAUUUUUAAUAUUAUUUUAGUAAUGAAAAGUUAUUCGUUCUUAAAUAUAUCUAGUUUUUUAAGAAAUAAAUUUAAUUUAUUAUUAAUUUUGUAUUAAUUUAAUUAUUAAAUUUAAUAUAAAUUAAUUAAAAUUUUUAUGGGGAUAAGCUUAUAAAAAUUAAUUAUAAAUAUUUUUUAAUAUAAAAAAUAUAGGAUUAGAAAUUUUCAUUAUUAAUAAAAGUGUUAUAAUUUAUUUUAUUAAAAUUUAAAUUUAUUAUAUUUUAAUUUUUUUAUUAAAAUAUUUAUUUUAACAAUAAAAAUAAAGUAAUAAUGAUAAAAUUAGUAUUAUUUAUUAUAUAAAUUAAAAAUUUAUAAAGAUAAAAUUAAGGAAUUCAGCAAUUUUAAUAUUCACCUGUUUAACAAAAACAUGUCUUUUUGUUUAAAAUAAAAAGUCUAACCUGCCCACUGAUAUAUUUAUUAAAGGGCCGCAGUAUAUUGACUGUGCAAAGGUAGCAUAAUCAUUUGUCUUUUAAUUGAAGACUGGAAUGAAUGGUUGAAUGAAAUAUUAACUGUCUCAAUUUUAAAAAAUUAAAAAUUUAAUUUUUAAGUUAAAAAGCUUAAAUAAAUUUAAAGGACGAGAAGACCCUAUAGAUCUUUAUAUUUAUAAUUAUAUUAUAAAAUAGAAGAAUAAUAAAUAAUAUUUUUAUAAAUAUUUUAUUGGGGUGAUAGGAAAAUUUAAUAAACUUUUUUUAAAAUUAAACAUAGAUUUAUGAAUACUUGAUCCAUUAUUAAUGAUUAUAAGAUUAAGUUACCUUAGGGAUAACAGCGUAAUUUUUUUAGAGAGUUCAUAUCGAUAAAAAAGAUUGCGACCUCGAUGUUGAAUUAAAGUAAUUUUUAGAUGUAGCAGUUUAAAAUUUAGGUCUGUUCGACCUUUAAAUCUUUACAUGAUUUGAGUUCAGACCGGUGUAAGCCAGGUCGGUUUCUAUCCUUAAUUAAUUAUGAUAUUUUAGUACGAAAGGACCAAAUAUUGAAAUUAUAUUUUUAUUAUUGAAUAAUAUU